AAUCUUCCACAAUGGGCGAAAGCCUGAUGGAGCAACGCCGCGUGAGUGAAGAAGGUUUUCGGAUCGUAAACCCCUGUCCUUGGGGACGAAAGAUGACGGUACCCAAGGAGGAAGCCCCGGCUAACUACGUGCCAGCAGCCGCGGUAAAACGUAGGGGGCGAGCGUUGUCCGGAAUUACUGGGCGUAAAGGGUGCGUAGGCGGCCGUUUAAGUCCUGUGUGAAAGGCUCCGGCUCAACCGGAGAGAGCCAUGGGAAACUGGACGGCUUGAGUGCCGGAGAGGGUUGCGGAAUUCCCGGUGUAGCGGUGAAAUGCGUAGAGAUCGGGAGGAACACCAGUGGCGAAGGCGGCAACCUGGACGGUGACUGACGCUGAGGCACGACAGCUGGGGGAGCAAACAGG
RNAcentral lists this ribosomal RNA (400 nucleotides) under uncultured bacterium. RNAcentral's name for it is "partial 16S ribosomal RNA". It matches the Rfam family "Bacterial small subunit ribosomal RNA", at positions 360 to 776 of the family's 1533-position model. The record is from RNAcentral.